AAACCUCACCCAGCCUGGACACAGACAAGCUGGACAGACAGAGCUCUUUCUCAAUUCCAUGUGUGGUGGUGCCUGGCCAUUCACGGUGGAGUGAUUUCUAGUUAAUUCCAAUAACGAACAAGACUUCAGCAUGCUAAUUCAUUAUGCAACACACCCUCCUGCAGUGGUCGACAUCCAACUUCUUCAAGGGACAAGUGGCAUUCAGCAACAUGAGAUGCAGCAACAACAAGGCUGUGAUGCCCUUUACUGUG
RNAcentral lists this non-coding RNA (251 nucleotides) under Balearica regulorum gibbericeps (East African grey crowned-crane). Its description in RNAcentral is "Balearica pavonina gibbericeps Eukaryotic small subunit ribosomal RNA". It matches the Rfam family "Eukaryotic small subunit ribosomal RNA", at positions 1210 to 1481 of the family's 1831-position model. Lineage: Eukaryota; Metazoa; Chordata; Aves; Gruiformes; Gruidae. The record is from Rfam by way of RNAcentral.